UGCAUGUACAAGUGGAAUUGCUGGGUCAUAUGACAAUCCUUUGUUUAACUUUUUAAGUAACUGCUAAACUGUUUUCCUGGGGUAUGGAACUUUAAGAUGGGCUUCAUGGUCCCUGUCUCCUGGUAUUCAUGUACCCCCUCUCCUUGAGUAUAGGCAGAAACUGUGACCUGCUUCUGACCAAUUGCAAAGGCAAUGAAGUGUCACUCUCUUCAGCAUGUGAGAUAACAUAAAACUGUGUCUAACUAGUCAAUUCACUCUAGACAUUCUCUCUCUCUCUCUCUCUCUUUCUCUCUCUCUCUCCAUUGCUUAUUUUGAAGUAGCAAGCUGCCAUAGUCAAUAACUACAAGGAAAUACAUUCUGGCAACUACUUGAGUGAUCUUGGAAGCAGUUUCUUCCACUGUUGAGCCUAUAGAUGAGGACACAGCUUGACUAACACCUGGAAUGUAGUCUCAUGAGACCCUCAGCAGAGGAUUGAAUAAGCUAUAUCAGUACUCUGAUCCACAGAAACUGUGAGAUAAUAACCACAUAUCAUUUCAAGUCUCCAAAUUUGUAUAAUUUGUUACCCAGCAUAGAAAACUAAUGUAGCAUGCUAGCAAUUGUUUUUAUUCAAAUAGUAUUUUCUGACACAGGUGAUUUCAUAUUCUUUGAUUUUUUUCUUUAGCAUUUUAUAAAUGAUUUUAUGUUAUGGUCUUAUGAAGGUUGAAAUCGUCUCCAAAGCUGCAUUUCUUAUGAGAAAUAUAGCUGCCAUCUGCAUUUUGUUCUUAAUUUUAUGGAAAAUGGCUUUAACAUUUCAAUAUUUGAUAUGUUAUAACUAACUAUAUAUAACUAUUAACAAAUUUUGUCUAUAACUAAUCUUCAUUUUUUAUUUCCACUUUUGUUAGGGUUCUUGUUAGGAAUUGCUGGUCCCCCUAAAUCUUAACAAUGACAUUUCUGUACCUAUCUACAUGAUCGCCUGCAGUUUUUUCCUUCUGAUUUGUUUGCACAAAGAAUUAUGCAGGAUUAAAAACUUCAAUGAACAAUAUCUCCCUUCUGUUUUGGCUUUAGAAAUCAGGUUGUUAUUGGUGGAACUGUACCCCUCCCACACCCCCAAUUCACAUGGUGAUGUUCUAACCCGCAGUACCUCACAAUGUGACCUUAUUUGGAGAUAGGCAUUUUUUAGAGGUAAUCAAGUAAAAAUGAGGUCAUUAGGAAGGCCUAACCCAAGAUGACAGUGUCCUCUAUGAGAAGGAGGAAUUUGGACAUAGACACACACAAGGCGAACAUCAUGUGAAGAUGAAGCCAGAGACCAGGAUGCUGCUUCAACAUGCCGAAGAACACCAGAGACUUCCAGAAAACCACUAGGAAUUCAGUGAAAGGGAUGAAACAGCUGCUCCCUCACAGCCCCUCAAAGGAACCAUCCCUGCCAACAUGUAGAUCUCAGACUUCCAGCUUCCAGAGCUGUUGGAUGAUAAAUGUGCGUUACUUAAGCCACUCAGUUUGUGGUACUUUGUUACGGCAGCCUAAGAAACUAAUACUCAGGUUUUUAUAAUGUCAGGUUGAGCCAUCCUCCACAUCUACUUUCUCUGGCAGUGACCAUUUCUGAUCAGGGACUGAAUAGAAGAUUCUAGUUAUUUAAUUACAAACAAAAUAAUUGAGAGAAGAAUGCAGUCAAGAUAAUUCCAAGAACAGCCCAUGACCUGGAGCCCAGUGCCCAGCUUCCACAGCAGUGAUGUGUUCACAUCAGGCCAGAUUCUUCCAUAAAAAGUUCACAUUUCUAUAAUAAAAAGUUCACAUGUU
This is a long non-coding RNA of Homo sapiens (human), 1776 nucleotides long. RefSeq lists it as uncharacterized. Lineage: Eukaryota; Metazoa; Chordata; Mammalia; Primates; Hominidae. The transcript has 2 exons. The record is from RefSeq and is a predicted model, not a curated record.